AAAGAUACCAUGGUGAACAAGUUAGAACAUUCAGGUGCGACGACAAGGGAGUUUACACUCGAGUUGUUGAGACAAAUUACAGAUAAUUUUUCUGAGAAGCACGAAAUUGGUCGUGGUGGGUUCGGAAUAGUCUACAAGGGAGUACUGGAUGAUGGGGAAGAGAUUGCUAUCAAAAAGCUUCACUGCGUGCCGGGGCUUGAUGACACACAAUUUAGGAAUGAGUUUAAUAACCUUAUGACAGCCCAACAUCCAAAUAUUACCCGGUUGAUCGGCUACUGUUAUUAUCUAGGACAUCAACGCAUUAAGUACAAUGAUGAAUAUGUUUUUGCCCAUGUGGUAGAAAAAUGUCUGUGCUUUGAAUACUUGAAGAGUGGAAGCCUUGACAAGCAUAUUUCUGAUGAAUCAUGCGGACUAGAUUGGCACACACGCUUCAAAAUUAUUAAGGGAGUUAGUGAGGGCUUAAAUUACCUUCAUAAUGGAUGCAAAGAUUCUAUUUACCAUCUUGACUUGAAACCUGGAAAUAUAUUGCUGGACAAGAACAUGGUCCCAAAAAUUGGAGAUUUUGGUCUGUCAAGACUUUUCCAAUCAGAAAAAACCCAUAUCACAAGCAAAUUUGUGGGAACAGUGUAAGUUGAUGCCUCAAUUCUAAAUAAUCAAUUUAUUCUUCAAAACAAAUUAAAUAUAUACCAUGCAGUGGAUACAUGCCACCAGAAUACAUCAAUAGAGGCGCAAUCACAACGAAGUUUGACAUAUUCAGUUUGGGUGUUAUAAUCGUUCGGAUAGUGGCAGGUCAUGAGGGCUAUUCCAGAUGUGAACAAAUGUCCCCUCAAGAAUUUAUUGAGCAUGUACAUGAAAACUGGAGAAAACGGCUGCAGGAAACAAUGUCAUCGUACACAUCAGAGCAAGUUAAAACAUGCAUUGAAAUAGCUUUAAGGUGUGUGGAGUUUGACCGAGAGAAAAGGCCUACCAUAGCGGAUAUUGUGGAUGAAUUGAAUAAGAUUGAGGAUGCUGGAAGUUCAGCUAUAGGCAAGAUCUCAGAAGAAACUGAGCACUCCCCGGAAAAACAACUUGCGAUUGAAGAACAAAAAAUAGAGUGUACAAAAGAGCAUACCAGAUACGCGAGAACAAAUCGCAUUUCCACUCUCGUGAAGUAUCAUGCAGCAGAGUCAAUUGGUUUCGUAAUUGGUGCCAUGGUCUCCCUCUCUCUGACCCCCAAGCUGGUCGAGCUCCCCAGCGACAAGUACAACUUGCAUGUAAACUGCAAGAAAGAGGUAGAGUACCUCUACAAAGAGUUGGUGCGCAUGCAAGCUGGCCGGCACGACCUGGCCGAGGUGUCGCGAGACCAGCUGGAUGAGGUCGUGAAGCUCUGGGCCGAGGAAGUAAAGGACCUCUUAUAUCAAGAGGAGAACACCGUUGACCUGGAUGAGGUGCCGCGGGACCAGCUGAAUGAUGUUGUUAAGCUCUGGGCCGAGGAAGUAAAGGACCUCUCAUAUCAAGAGGAGAAUACCAUUGACCUUGAUGAGGUGCAGCGGGACCAGCUGAAUGGUGUUGGUAAGCUCUGGGCGAAGGAAGUAAAGGACCUCUCAUAUCAAGAGGAGAAUACCGUUGACCUGAACGAGGUGCCACGGGACCAGCUGCAUGGUGUUGUUAAGCUCUGGGCCGAGGAAGUAAAGGGCCUAUCAUAUCAGGAGGAGAAUACCGUUGACCUGGCCGAGGUGCCGCAGGGCCAGCUGGAUCAGGGGGAGAAUACCGUUGAUUCCUUUAUGGUGUGCUCACCUCGCAAGUCUCUGUCACGCCUGUGAUGGUGGGUAGCACCUCCACAACUCUUUUUUUAGACAAAGCAUCUCAACAACUACUACAGCCUCUACAUGACUCAAGGCUGGCCCAUCGUGAGCAGCCCGUGGGCCAGCGCAGCUACGGAGGAGUCCCCACGUUCGGACAAAAAUGUUAAAAUCGAAGAUAUAUUAAAAAACACUGUUUGAUGAAUAGUAUGGUCUCAAUUGUGUUUUCUUCACUAAGAAUACCACGGGUGUCAAUACUUCAUGAAACUUCACACGUGAAUAGAAUGUUCGAGCAGGUUUGAUAACCCGAUUUUUUUGAAUUUGUAAGAAAAUUCUUGUAUUUUUUGGAAUUUACUAUUAUUGUGAGU
Molecule: ribosomal RNA, 2149 nt
Filed under: Triticum aestivum (bread wheat)
Lineage: Eukaryota; Viridiplantae; Streptophyta; Magnoliopsida; Poales; Poaceae
Description: partial small subunit ribosomal RNA
Source: RNAcentral